GGAAAAAUGCAGGAUGUGAACGAUAUUUCCACAAGGAGACUUGACAGCCCCCCAACGUUCCCCCCCCAUCCCAGUGAGUGGGCAGCCUUUCACGUCAAUAAUGGAUGCUGCAAGACGGAAUGAUGGAUACGGUUGCCAUGACGACAGAUGCAGUGUUACUCAGGCAGGACACGGAGAAGAGCUGGGACCACGUUGCCAAGUAACAGCUGAGCUAUGAAGAGAGGAGGCGAGAAGCGUGGGCAAGCAAGAUGGAAGUGAGUGAGUGGGAAGGGAGAGCGCCGAGGAUAGGGCGACUCGUACAAAGAUGGCGAACAACAAAGAGUGAAGCGAAAAUAGCGCAUUGAGUAAACAACACGCAGUGCGUGUGUGUGUUUGUGUGUGAUUAUUUCUAUUAGGGCUGUCUUUGUGCUCACCUGCUGGACAAUAUACAGUGGGGCAAAAUAGUAUUUAGUCAGCCACCGAUUGUGCAAGUUCUCCCACUUAAAAUGAUGACAGAGGUCUGUAAUUUUCAUCAUAGGUACACUUCAACUGUGAGAGACAGAAUGUGGAAAAUAAAUCCAGGAAUUCACAUUGUAGGAAUUUUAAAGAAUUUAUUUGUAAAUUAUGGUGGAAAAUAAGUAUUUGGUCAACCAUUCAAAGCUUUCACUGAAUGGAAGGAGGUUUUGGCUCAAAAUCUCACGAUACAUGGCCCCAUUCAUUCUUUCCUUAACACGGAUCAAUCGUCCUGUCCCCUUAGCAGAAAAACAGCACCAGAGCAUGAUGUUUCCACCCCCAUGCUUCACAGUAGUUAUGGUGUUCUUGGGAUGCAACUCAGUAUUCUUUUUCCUCCACACACGACAAGUUGAGUUUAUACCAAAAAGUUCUAUUUUGGUUUCAUCUGACCACAUGACAUUCUCCCAAUCCUCUGCUGUAUCAUCCAUGUAUCCAUUUUGGUAUAAACUCAACUCGUCAUGCUGCAGCAAUUGGCGAUCACUCCAGCAGCAGGGAGAGUGGACUCAGGUACCUGUGGGUACUGCCUCUAGAUCAGUGGUUUUUAACCUGGGUUCGAUCGAACCCUAGGGGUUCGGUUAGCCGGCCUCAGGGGUUCGGCGGAGCCUCCGCCACGGAAGUAAAGACACACCCGAAUUAUCGUGUAAAUAAAAACUUCUCCCUGUCGGCAGAUUAUGGAUACCCCUAAACAACGUUCCCUCUAAUUUUCCAUCUGAUUUGCAGGUUUUUUGAUUGAUUGAUUGAAACUUUUACUAGCAGAUUGCAAAGGAAGAGAAUACAUUAUAUGAAACAGUGCAGUUUGCACAGUACAGUACAUAUUCCGUACAAUUUGUACAACACCUGAAUAAGUUUUUCAACUUGUUUAAGUCGGGGUCCACAUUAAUCAAUUCAUGGUAAUGUGUGUAAGGUGUGUAUUUUGUUGUGAAAUCAUGCACUGUGUUGGUUUUGUUCUGUGAACAAGUUGAUGUUCAUGCAUGGUUCAUUUUGUGCACCAAUAAAAAAAA
This is a long non-coding RNA of Nerophis ophidion (straightnose pipefish), 1493 nucleotides long. RefSeq lists it as uncharacterized. The transcript has 3 exons. The record is from RefSeq and is a predicted model, not a curated record. Lineage: Eukaryota; Metazoa; Chordata; Actinopteri; Syngnathiformes; Syngnathidae.